UACGGAGGGUGCAAGCGUUAUCCGGAUUCACUGGGUUUAAAGGGUGCGUAGGUGGGCAGGUAAGUCAGUGGUGAAAUCUCCGGGCUUAACCCGGAAACUGCCGUUGAUACUAUUUGUCUUGAAUAUAGUGGAGGUGAGCGGAAUAUGUCAUGUAGCAGUGAAAUGCUUAGAUAUGACAUAGAACAUCGAUUGCGAAGGCAGCUCGCUACACUAUUAUUGACACUGAGGCACGAAAGCGUGGGGAUCAAACAGG
This 253-nucleotide ribosomal RNA is filed under the name uncultured bacterium. Its description in RNAcentral is "partial 16S ribosomal RNA". It matches the Rfam family "Bacterial small subunit ribosomal RNA", at positions 524 to 776 of the family's 1533-position model. The record is from RNAcentral.